RNAcentral lists this ribosomal RNA (405 nucleotides) under uncultured bacterium. RNAcentral's name for it is "partial 16S ribosomal RNA". It matches the Rfam family "Bacterial small subunit ribosomal RNA", at positions 33 to 526 of the family's 1533-position model. The record is from RNAcentral.
GACGACGCUGGCGGCGUGCCUAAUACAUGCAAGUAGAACGAGUUGCGAACGGGUGAGUAACGCGUGGUAACCUGCCUCAUAGCGGGGGAUAACUAUUGGAAACGAUAGCUAAUACCGCAUACCAUCAGAUGUGCCCAGAUGGGAUUAGCUAGUAGGUGGGGUAACGGCUCACCUAGGCGACGAUCCCUAGCUGGUCUGAGAGGAUGACCAGCCACACUGGAACUGAGACACGGUCCAGACUCCUACGGGAGGCAGCAGUGGGGAAUCUUCGGCAAUGGACGGAAGUCUGACCGAGCAACGCCGCGUGUAUGAAGAAGGCCUUCGGGUUGUAAAGUACUUUCAGCGGGGAGGCGUUACCCGCAGAAGAAGCACCGGCUAACUCCGUGCCAGCAGCCGCGGUAAUAC